Molecule: ribosomal RNA, 506 nt
Filed under: uncultured bacterium
Lineage: Bacteria
Description: partial 16S ribosomal RNA
Rfam family: Bacterial small subunit ribosomal RNA
Source: RNAcentral
AUUGAACGCUGGCGGCAGGCCUAACACAUGCAAGUCGAACGGUAACAGGAAGAAGCUUGCUUCUUUGCUGACGAGUGGCGGACGGGUGAGUAAUGUCUGGGAAACUGCCUGAUGGAGGGGGAUAACUACUGGAAACGGUAGCUAAUACCGCAUAACGUCGCAAGACCAAAGAGGGGGACCUUCGGGCCUCUUGCCAUCGGAUGUGCCCAGAUGGGAUUAGCUUGUUGGUGGGGUAACGGCUCACCAAGGCGACGAUCCCUAGCUGGUCUGAGAGGAUGACCAGCCACACUGGAACUGAGACACGGUCCAGACUCCUACGGGAGGCAGCAGUGGGGAAUAUUGCACAAUGGGCGCAAGCCUGAUGCAGCCAUGCCGCGUGUAUGAAGAAGGCCUUCGGGUUGUAAAGUACUUUCAGCGGGGAGGAAGGGAGUAAAGUUAAUACCUUUACUCAUUGACGUUACCCGCAGAAGAAGCACCGGCUAACUCCGUGCCAGCAGCCGCAGUAA